RNAcentral lists this ribosomal RNA (677 nucleotides) under uncultured Actinomycetes bacterium. RNAcentral's name for it is "bacterial SSU rRNA". It matches the Rfam family "Bacterial small subunit ribosomal RNA", at positions 195 to 886 of the family's 1533-position model. Lineage: Bacteria; Bacillati; Actinomycetota; Actinomycetes. The record is from RNAcentral.
GAGUUUUGAAAGAAUUUCGGUGGAGGAUGACUUCGCGGCCUAUCAGCUAGUUGGUGAGGUAAUGGCUCACCAAGGCAACGACGGGUAGCCGGCCUGAGAGGGCGACCGGCCACACUGGGACUGAGACACGGCCCAGACUCCUACGGGAGGCAGCAGUGGGGAAUAUAGGGCAAUGGAGGAAACUCUGACCCAGCGACGCCGCGUGCGGGAUGAAGGCCUUCGGGUUGUAAACCGCUUUCAGUAGGGAAGAAGCGAAAGUGACGGUACCUACAAAAGAAGCACCGGCUAACUAUGUGCCAGCAGCCGCGGUAAUACAUAGGGUGCAAGCGUUGUCCGGAAUCAUUGGGCGUAAAGAGCUCGUAGGUCGUUUGUUACGUCGGAUGUGAAAACCUGAGGCUCAACCUCAGGCCUGCAUUCGAUACGGGCAAACUAGAGUUUGGUAGGGGAGACUGGAAUUCCUGGUGUAGCGGUGGAAUGCGCAGAUAUCAGGAGGAACACCAAUGGCGAAGGCAGGUCUCUGGGCCAAUACUGACACUGAGGAGCGAAAGUCUGGGGAGCGAACAGGAUUAGAUACCCCUGGUAGUCCAGACCGUAAACGGUGGGCACUAGUUGUGGGAACCUUCCACGGUUUCUGCGACGCAGCUAACGCAUUAAGUGCCCCGCCUGGGGAGUACGAU